ACGGCGAGUGAAGCGGCAACAGCUCAAAUUUGAAAUCUGGCUCUUUCAGGGUCCGAGUUGUAAUUUGUAGAGGAUGUUUCGGGUGUGGCUCCGGUCUAAGUUCCUUGGAACAGGACGUCAUAGAGGGUGAGAAUCCCGUAUGUGACUGGUAGCCUAUGCUCAUGUGAAACUCCUUCGACGAGUCGAGUUGUUUGGGAAUGCAGCUCAAAAUGGGUGGUAAAUUUCAUCUAAAGCUAAAUAUUGGCCAGAGACCGAUAGCGCACAAGUAGAGUGAUCGAAAGAUGAAAAGCACUUUGGAAAGAGAGUUAAACAGUACGUGAAAUUGUUGAAAGGGAAGCGCUUGCAACCAGACUUGCAUGUAGCUGAUCAACCGGUGUUCUCACCGGUGCACUCAGUUGCGUUCAGGCCAGCAUCGGUUUCGACGGUUGGAUAAAGGCCUUGGGAAUGUAGCUCCUCUCGGGGAGUGUUAUAGCCCAGGGUGCAAUGCAGCCUGUUGGGACCGAGGACCGCGCUUCGGCUAGGAUGCUGGCGUAAUGGUUGUAAGCGACCCGU
This 552-nucleotide ribosomal RNA is filed under the name Phacidium sp. RNAcentral describes it as "partial large subunit ribosomal RNA". It matches the Rfam family "Eukaryotic large subunit ribosomal RNA", at positions 86 to 652 of the family's 3401-position model. The record is from RNAcentral. Lineage: Eukaryota; Fungi; Ascomycota; Leotiomycetes; Phacidiales; Phacidiaceae.